This 240-nucleotide ribosomal RNA is filed under the name uncultured Lactobacillus sp. Its description in RNAcentral is "partial 16S ribosomal RNA". It matches the Rfam family "Bacterial small subunit ribosomal RNA", at positions 122 to 355 of the family's 1533-position model. The record is from RNAcentral. Lineage: Bacteria; Bacillati; Bacillota; Bacilli; Lactobacillales; Lactobacillaceae.
UAACCUGCCCAAGAGAUCGGGAUAACACCUGGAAACAGAUGCUAAUACCGGAUAAUAACAGAUGAUGCCUAUCAACUGUUUAAAAGAUGGUUCUGCUAUCACUCUUGGAUGGACCUGCGGUGCAUUAGCUAGUUGGUAGGGUAACGGCCUACCAAGGCGAUGAUGCAUAGCCGAGUUGAGAGACUGAUAGGCCACAUUGGGACUGAGACACGGCCCAAACUCCUACGGGAGGCAGCAGCC